Molecule: ribosomal RNA, 433 nt
Filed under: uncultured bacterium
Lineage: Bacteria
Description: partial 16S ribosomal RNA
Rfam family: Bacterial small subunit ribosomal RNA
Source: RNAcentral
AGCGAACGCUGGCGGCAGGCCUAACACAUGCAAGUCGAACGAACCUUUCGGGGUUAGUGGCGGACGGGUGAGUAACACGUGGGAACGUGCCUUUAGGUUCGGAAUAACUCAGGGAACUUGUGCUAAUACCGAAUGUGCCCUUCGGGGGAAAGAUUUAUCGCCUUUAGAGCGGCCCGCGUCUGAUUAGCUAGUUGGUUGAGGUAAUGGCUCACCAAGGCGACGAUCAGUAGCUGGUCUGAGAGGAUGAUCAGCCACAUUGGGACUGAGACACGGCCCAAACUCCUACGGGAGGCAGCAGUGGGGAAUCUUGCGCAAUGGGCGAAAGCCUGACGCAGCCAUGCCGCGUGAAUGAUGAAGGUCUUAGGAUUGUAAAAUUCUUUCACCGGGGACGAUAAUGACGGUACCCGGAGAAGAAGCCCCGGCUAACUUCGUG